Molecule: long non-coding RNA, 37337 nt
Filed under: Setaria viridis
Lineage: Eukaryota; Viridiplantae; Streptophyta; Magnoliopsida; Poales; Poaceae
Description: long non-coding RNA (SVIR_LNC006192)
Source: RNAcentral
UUUUUUUUUUUUUGCAGCAGCUUGGUCGUCGUCGGCGACAGGAUCUACAGCAUGGACGAUAGGAAGGACCCCGCAGGCCCGUGCAACUUCGAGGUGCUGCGCUUUGGCUACGCCACUUCCAGCAGCAGCAGCAGCAGGAGGAGGUGCUGGUCCUGGACCCGCUCUCCAGCUGCGACGUCGCGCCCCCCGCCACCGGCGACGAGAGCGCCAACAGGCUCGAGCGGGCGCCGCCGUCGAAGCUCACGAAGGAGAGGCUCUUCCGCGCCAAGGGCAGGCGGCACAGGGGCGGCCCGCUCGUGUAUAUGGGCGACAGCACGUUCUGCGUCGUCGAGCGCGUCACGGACGGAAAGCUCACCAGGGAGCAGCGGAAGAGGCUCGAGCUCGACGGGCGGCCGCCGCGCCUGCUGCUCUACGUGCGGGUGUUCGGCCUCAAGUACGGCAAGAAAGGGCGGCUGCAGGUGGCGACGUGCGGCCGCCGGGCACGAUGCCACGCACUGCCCGAGGGGACGAACUAUAGGUUGAUCAACUUAUACUUUCAGAAAAUGAAGUCAGUUGCUCCAUAUAAAUUAAGCUCCCUCAAGCUCGAUUUGUCCAUGGUAAUUGUCCAUUAUCUCAGCAAUCAACGCGGAACAUCUAGAAGAUGAAACUUCUUCAGUAAAUCUUCCAACCAGCAGUCCCUGCCUGUCGAUCGCAGUUUCACGCCACACCUGACAAGUGACGAUGGAACUCAGGCUAAAGAUAUGGUGGGUCCCAAUGCCAGUGACACAAAAGUUGUUUUAUCAGCUGGAAUAUCGUAAUCCUCUAUUGUCAGCAUUGAGAUUAGCAUUGUCGUUUGUGACUAGCAGCUUGUGAUACAACUUUCGUCAGUAGUCGUUCAGCUGCAGUAAGCGUGUAUACUCAGUUCAUUUCCCAAUUCCACAACUGCCCAGCGCUCCACGUCGACCGGUUUGCCCGGUCUCGCAUCAUCGCUUCACCCCGCCGCCGGCCCAUCUCCCGGCGCCGCCGCGGGAGUCUACACCGGCCGCUUGCCCUCCCGACGGCAAACUCGCGGUAGGCUCUGCCUGCCCUCGUCGCCGGGGCUUGGUGAGCCCCCGGGGGCUGCCGCUGCCGCCACCGGCCGAUCGCCGCCGCGGCGUCCGUCAACCGUCAGUGUAUUCGGUAAGAAACGGCUGUGCUCGGCCUCAAUACGCAUCUCCUCCUCCGAUUUGGGGAUCUGGCCCGGGGCUUCGUUCUGGGGUUGAAUUCGUCCCCUUUUUCCUAUUUUGAAUUGCCUCCGAUUUGGUUUUUGUGCGAAAUUCUAGCUUUUCAAUGCGGUACGAUCUGUGUACCUCACUUCACUUGGAUCUUGCUUCAAGUCUAAGAUUCGUCCACCAGCGCCAAAUUUUUUGAAUUGGGAGGUUUGCAUUGUUUAUGCACUUUCGUUGGUGUUCAACAGUUGCUUCUAGUUCUGCUGAUCGAUUGAUCGAUGUACGGACAAAUCUAUGACUGUAACUUGUGCCUUAAUUAGUUGGGUUAUUUCUUUUCUCUCAUUUCUGAUGCUACAUUUAUAACAAGAUAGGUUAUAAUUGGCUUUGGCCAUCAACGAUUUGGGGACACACAGUAUUAAUGUGUUGGGACAAUGGGAAUAAAAGCAAUCGGUGCACAUUUUGCUACAUUGGGAGUGAGUUCUGCUAAUGCUGAAGCCAGCAGCUACGUGUUCCCCUGAAACUACGAGAAAAUGCUACUUUCUGCUAGCUCGGCGGCUCACUGCCAAAUCAGCUAGUCACGCCCAGCUAGUUUUGGGUUUUCUGACAAAAAUGGCUUCUUUGAAGCGUUGCAGAUAUCAUGAGGGCUUCUUAGCUAUAAGGUUAUCUGUUUCUUUUUUGAGGCGGACAGCAGGGGAGGCCCCUACUGAUAUUUUCCAUUAAUAAAAAGGGAGAUAUUUACAUUUUACAAGGCCUCAGGCCCAAGAAAAAAAGAGGGAGAGAAGCUUAACGAAAAUUACAUAACCAGUUUUCCAAGUCCAUUUUCAGGGGUGGCUUGGCUCUAUGCAAGAUGAGUCCAAAUUUCUUCCUGAAAAUUGAUUUCCACCUCCCUAGGGAUAAUGGCACACCAUCAAAGAUAACUUCAUUACGAUGAGUCCAAAUAGCCUAGCAAGCCACCAUGACAAUUUCUCUAAAAAUCUUUGAAUUAAAGUCUCUCCUGGCUUCAAUGAUCAUCUCCAUAUUCAUCAGGUUUAGAUUCCAUCGGAUGUUGAGAAAGCGCUAGCACCACUGACUGAAAGAGCAUGUGAAGAAUAGGUGUACCAAAGUUUCUUCAGAAUUACUGCUGCAUAAGGCACAACUAUAGUCGUCUAGGACUCUUCGUUUCCUGCGAAGAAUAUUUCUUGUGUUCAAUCUGUCCCUUAGGAGAAGCCAAAAGAAAAAUUUAUGCCUGCCCCUACAACAUGAUUUCCACAUCCAUUUGAAUACGGGACUAAUAGGAGUUGUGCCCAUCAACUGUUUGUAUGCCUUCUUUGAACUGUAAUCAGGUGAGCCCCAUAUAUAAGACCAUUGAUCUUCCAGAGAUUGGUUCACUGAUAACCCUUGAAUGAGGAAAACAAGUUCAGCCAGUUGAUCACAAGCCACUGGGGACAUUGGUGUGAAGAAAUUUGUAUAAGCAUCCUGUGACAAGAAUUUCUUAACUGAGGCAUUCUUAUUCUGACAAAGGAGAAAAGCUGUGGGAAGACCAAAUUUAGAGCCCCCAAGUCCCAUAAAUCUGUCCAAAAGCAAACUGAGUUCCCCUUGUUAACCUUGCAAGAAGCAAUCCUUAAGAAGCUAUCUGAUAGCGUCAUCACAUCUCUCCACCAAAAAGAGCCUACUGGCCUUUUCAUGUGUGGGACAACAUCAUUUGAAUAUAAGCAGCGCCAGGUGAGGGAGACCCAUGGUAUAAUCUCAUGAUUAUAAAACUUAUGGAGGGAUUUCGUGAGGAGAGAAGUGUUCUGUGUUUUUAAAUCAAUAAUGCCCAAUUCUCCUUGCUCUUUGGAUCUGCGUGCAUCUUUCCAAGCAACUAAACAUCCACCUUUUCUGUUGAUAUCUCCUUUAUCCCAAAGGUAGUGUUUCCUAUAGCAAUCAAUCUGUUGGAUAACCCCAACAGGAAGCUUCAAGGUGCAAAGAUAAAAGGUGGGCAGAGAAGAUAGCACUGAAUUGACCAGAAUUAGUCUGCCAGCAUAAGAUAGAAGUUUGUUCAGUCCCAUCAUUCUCCUCUCAAUUCUGUUUAGUAAAGGCAUAUAUUCAUCAACUGCAGGUCUUGUAGUUCUAAGAGGCAAGCCAAGAGCCCAAGAUAGGUGAAUGGCAUCGAGCCAACUUGACAUCCUAUGGCAGCAGCAAGAGAAGAAGCCUUAUGAGGCUCAACAUUGAUUGGCACAAGAGAGGAUUUCAUGAAGUUAACUCUCAGUCCAGUGGAGACUGCAUAAGUGUCAAGAAUGCUUUUGAGGCUAAGAAGCUGUUGCUCAUCUGCUGGCAUGAUUAUCAAGGUAUCAUCUGCGUAUUGGACAAUAGGAUAAUCUCCCCCAAAACUAUCCCCUAAGGGAUGUUGUAAAAUAUGAUUGUUGGCUACAUCAUUGAUAACUGAUUGUAACAGGUCAGCUGCAAGCACAAACAGUAAAGGGGAUAAGGGAUCACCCUGUCUAACUCCACGCUUGCAUUUGAAUGGUUUCCCAGGAACCCCAUUAAGCAGCACAGAAGAAGAUCCAGAAGAGAGGACCAUUUCAAUCCAUUUAACCCACUUGGCAGAAAAACCUUUAUGCCUAAACAUGUCCAGGAACUUGAUGCUCUAUCUUGUCAAAUGCCUUUUCAAAAUCUAGUUUUAGUAUAACAAUUUCUUUCUUGCUUUGAUGGCAAAUAUGCAAGAAUUGAAAAGCCCAUGCAAGACAAUCCUGAAUAGUCCUUCCCUUGAGGAAACCGUAUUGAUUAGCAUGAAUAACUCUCAGAAUUACCACCUGUAACCUGUUUGCUAGAAGCUUUGCGAGCAGUUUCAAAGAAUAGUUCAGCAAGGAGAUUGGUCUGUAAUCAUUCACUGUGAGGGGGCAGUCUUUUUUAGGAAUAAGAGUGAUGAAGGAUCCCUUGAUACAUUCAAGAUUCACUGAACAGUUCACAAAAGCUUCACAAAAUUUGUAGAAAUCUUCUGAGAUGAUGUGCCAACACUUUUUCAUGAAGAAGCCAUUAAAACCAUCUGGACCAGGGGCAUGGUCAGGGGCCAUCUCCUUGACAGCUCUGUCAAUUUCUUCCUUGGAAAAGGGCUCAUCAAGCACAGGAAGCUGAAUAGCUUGGAUUAGGGCAUUGAGAUCAAAUUGCAUUUCACUAAACUUUGAGACCCCCAAUCUGUCUUUAAAAGAAUUCCAUAGUACACCAACUUUCAAAACAUGAUCACUGACAGUAGAACCAUCUUCUAAAAGAAGAGAAGCAAUGUAGUUUCUUCUGAACGAGUGAGUAGCCAUGGCCUGAAACAAACUUGAGUUUUCAUCACCGAACUUGACCCACCUUACUGUGGAUCUCUGCUUCCAAUACAAUCUCUUUGCUUCCAAUAGAUUCUGCAGGUGAGACUUAACAAUCUUUCUAAAAUUUGAUUCAAUGAGACUAAGCCUUCUCUUCUAACCCAUCCAAGAGAGCUAGAACCCAACUGCAGUUAUUAAUAAGCUUGUUAAGCUUAGAAAGUUCCUUGCUCCACUGUUUUAAACCAACCCUUAGCUGCUUGAAUUUACCACUGAUGGUCUUAGCCAUAAUAGCAAAAGAAAGGAUUUGAGUGCCAAUGCAACUGAACAGUGUCAAAGAAACCUGGAAAAUCUGCCCAAUAGUUUUCAAAUCUGAAUAUCGAAGCUUUUGGAAUGUGAGAGUCCAUUCUGACAACAUAAGGGAUCUGAUCUGAAAUUGGCUUUGAGCGAGGUUUGACACAGGUAGCAGGAUAGGACAGGGACCAUGAUGCUGAUGUAAAAACCCAGUCAAGCUUCUCAAGCAAAGCAUCAUCCUGCAUGCUACUCCAAGUGAAUUGCCUGCCCUCAAAAGGUAUAUCAAUUAAAUCCAGAUGUUGAAUGAGAUCAUUGAAAAGCAACAUGUCACUGAGACAACCUCCAGGCUUGUUUCUAUCUGUUGGAGAUUGAAUAAAGUUGAAAUCCCCAACUAAAAUCCAGUCAUCAAAAGAGGAGGCGUCAAAAUUUUAAAGCCAGUUAACAAACGCAGCUUUCUCAGCAGGUGCAGAGGGUCCAUACACAUUAGAGACAUGAAACACUGCAUCAGAGGCAUUCGAACUGAAUUUCAUGGUGAUGGCAUAAUUAUUUUCAUGGCUCACAUCCCCUCGAAACAGAGCACUAUUCCAAACAAUAAGCAUACCACCUGAAGCACCAAUGGAAGGAACAAAAGCAAACUUGUUCAAAUGCCUAGGACAGAAUUUGGAAACAUAAGAUUGAUCAAAUGAUUCUCUUUUUGUCUCUUGCAAACACACAAUAGCAGCACCACUUCCCGAGAUUUUGUUUCUAAUAUGGUCCCAUUUCUCUUGGGAAUUAAUACCACGAAUAUUCCAGGACAAAAUACUCCAAGUUUUGUUAUGAUUUAUAGAUAAAACAGAGGGGGAAUCCAUCCAGGGAGAGUCUAAGCACACACAAAGACUCAUAAGAUAAGCAUGGGACAUGGAAAACAAGAGAUAAGAGACUCCAGCAAGGUAGCGUAACCAGUUUAGAGAGUUUACAUCCAACUUCCAUCAAAAGAAAGAGUUUCGAGCAGAAUAACCAAAAGAUGUGCCAAACUAAGACCAUUACCCAUAAACAGAAGCAGGGGCAAUGCCAUCUUACCAUCAUGGAUAAGAUCCGACUUACCAUCUUUUAUUCAACAGGUACAAGUGCUUCAGCAGUGCCAAUACCAUCCUGUCAACAAGUUUGCUUGUCACGAAAGGAUAACACACAUCAUGGCAAAGCCUGGCAUUUUAGGACGUAGGUAUGUUCAAUGCUUAGUGUCUAUGCAUUGCACUACUGUAUGUAACAAAUAACGAGUUCUUUUUUCCAUGGCCAUUUGCACACAUCAUAAUGUACUGUCAAUCCUUACAGCAGCAGUGUGCCAAGAUCAAAUGAGAGCAUGCGAAUAAUAUUCUCAGCAGUUGUCGGUGUUAUGCUAGGGUACUUGUUUGGCAUUUCCUUCCCUACAGUUAAUAUAACAAAGGUAAAAAAGGAUCAUCUGCUUCUCUCGUCUUCUAAUGCCACAUGCCCUGUUUAUAGAAAAUCUUGACCUGCUACAUUUUGUAGCUUCACUUUCCUUCCAGCAUUAUAUCCUAUAUUGAAGAUAGAAACUCUGGCAUUACAACCCAAACAUUAUUGAACCAUGCAUGGACGUCUGCAGCUAGUCACAAGAACAAUUCGGUUUCUAACCCAGAUGAAAUUCCGAAGGUACUUUGCCAGUCUUGUACUUUCCUAUGGUUGUUAUGUGCUCAUGCAGUUUGGUGACUAAUCACAUGCUUGUUAUUGUACUAUGCAUACUCUGUGGUCAAUUUUACUAGUGUUUUAUUUCCAUGCAUGAUGUGUAAGUUUCAAGUUCAUGAACACUUUUAGUCUAGGAAAUUCUGCCUACAUUAGCCUUCAUUUGUUAGCAUAUAACACAAUGAACUGAAUAGAUGGUGUCUCAUCAAACAUAUCAGCUGCCUUUUGUUUUAUCCCUUUUUCCCUCUGGUUAAUCUUGCAAAAUUAUUUUCUCAGAUUUAUGUUCCAACAAACCCUAAAGGUGCUGAAAGGCUCCCACCAGGCAUUGUUGCGUCUGAAACAGACCUUUAUCUCCGAAGAUUGUGGGGUGAACCUAGUGAGGUUGGUUAUUGUUUUUGUCACUUCUCAGUACAUUUAACAAAUGACGUUUUUAAAAGUUUUAAAUCUUCCUUUUGUGAGCAUCAUCUAAAAUACAUGAUCUAUACCAUCAGGAUCUUACUAGCCAACCAAGGUACCUUGUGACAUUUACAGUUGGAUACUCUCAGAAGGCAAAUAUUGAUGCUGCGGUAAAAAAGGUAAUUUCUUAGACAUCUAGCAAUGCUUCACCUUAGCGAAUAGAUAGUCUAUAACUGAUAUCAUACAAUUGAUUCAUGCAUCCUCAUGAACUAUUCACUGUCUUCAUAAAGGUAUUCUUAUUUAAAAUAAUAUUUUAUGUCUGCUUUAUCAGUUUUCAGAGAACUUCACAAUUAUGUUGUUCCACUAUGAUGGUCGGACUACAGAAUGGAAUGAAUUUGAGUGGUCAAAAAGAGCUAUCCAUGUGAGUGUCAGAAAGCAGACUAAAUGGUAAGUUACUUAUUUAUGUCUUUGCAACACUGUUAGUCUUUUACGUAUUUGACUGUUGAAGGUUAAAAACUUGUUUCCGCAAGGUGGUAUGCCAAACGGUUUUUGCAUCCUGAUGUUGUGGCUCGUUAUGACUACAUAUUUAUCUGGGAUGAAGAUCUAGGCGUUGAACAUUUUAAUGCAGAGGCGUAAGCAUCAGUCCCUUGUUAUUUCUGUUUUUCUGUGUCCCCUUGAGGAAGAUGGUCUCAAAGCUUUUUGUUUCAGGUACAUUAAGCUUGUUAGGAAGCAUGGUCUGGAGAUCUCUCAGCCUGGUUUGGAACCUGACAAAGGUCUAACGUGGCAAAUGACUAAGCGCAGAGGUGAUCAGGAAGUCCACAAGUGAGCUACUGGAUCUGUAUUGCUUUACCAAUGCUUAGUAGCCACACAGGCGCACACACCUAUAUCCAUUUCUGUAGUAAUAUUUUGCUUUUUGCAGAGUAACUGAGGAGAGGCCGGGCUGGUGUACAGAUCCCCAUCUGCCACCAUGUGCAGCGUAGGGGGUGCAAUAAUUUGUUGUUUGAUAAUUUCCAUCUGUCAAAAUCUGUUUUCACAUCUAAUUUGAUAUGCAGAUUCGUUGAAAUUAUGGCAACUGUGUUCUCAAGGGAUGCAUGGCGCUGUGUAUGGCAUAUGAUUCAGGUGGAGUGUCAAUACUCAUCUCUUAGCUUCAUUCGAAGUCAGUAUGCUUACACAUAGUUAUCUGCAGAAUGACUUGGUCCAUGGAUGGGGUCUCGAUUUUGCUCUUAGGAAAUGUGUGGAGGUACAUUCAUUAUCCAUUAUCUAUUAACCAUAUUACUCUCUGAAGUAAAUUAUACAUGAGUAUUAUCCUGCAUAGUUGUAGGAUAGAUCACAUAACUGGUCGCAUAGAAUGAAUCUUUAAUUUAGUUCUUUCAGGUUUAGGGGUUGGCCAGGUACAGAGUAAGACUAUGGUGGUUGGGGAUGGUGAGGAAAGGGUUGGGGGUUAAAUCAGGCAGUGGAGAUGAGAAGAUGGGAUGAGAUGUAGUUAGAGAAAAUAGAUAAACAGAAGCUGGGUUUCAAUUUCCGAUGUGGUGGACUGGUGGGGCUCUGUUUCAUGAAUCUUGGGCAUGUAGAGAUAUAAAAUUUCAUUGCCCCAUUCCUGGUCUAGUGCAUAUAUAUCAAGCAGCCUAUCAACGAUCAGUCAUUUUUUAGUGAUCCAGGAUUCUUUUAUUUGGUCUUAUGUUAAACAGCCAGCCCAUGAAAAAAUUGGAGUUGUUGAUUCCCAGUGGAUUGUUCAUCAAGUUAUACCAUCACUUGGUAACCAGGUAUGCCAGACUAAUGGUUUCACGUCAUUUGUACAUGGCACAAAGAUACUGUGAUUUCUGAUCCUUUAGCAUCUAUUCCUAUCAGGGCAAGGCAGAGAAUGGAAAAGCGCCGUGGGAAGGGGUAAGCUAUCAAACAAUCACCGGUUGCACAUAAUUUUGCACUUUUCAUACUAUUACUUUCUGACAUGAAUAUGUAAGAAUUUUAUCUUGCUGUUCUCUGUCCCGGUGCCACAGGUAAGAGCACGCUGUCGAAAAGAAUGGGGAAUAUUUCAAACAAGGUUGGCAGAUGCUGAGAAAGCUUAUUACUUGGACCACGGGAUCACACCCCCAAAUUUGACAGGAGCGUAGCUGAGCGCGCCUCAGGAGUCAUGACAAGGUUUCUGUUCUGGGAACCUGGCACCUGCAUCUCCGGUAUGCACAUCCAAGCUCAGCUCCAUGGAGAUGCAAUUCCAUGGCCAGAUUUGUACAGGCAGCCUCAAAUCCUCUUCCCUUUGCUCUUACUUAUUCUUAGCCCUGUUCUCUUGGUUUCAGUCGUAGUGAAACUAGCUCGUAUGUAAGUAACCGAUUUAGCACGGAUCUUGAAUUCUUUAUGUCCAUACUAGUGCUCCUUUCCCCCAUUGUUGACCUGGUGCACGUUGGCAAGUUUUUUCCCUCCCUCGUUUUAAAAGGUAAAUUACUUGCCUUGGAACAGCUCUUGUGCCAUACGGCCGGCCACGCCAUCAGUAUCUUUCCAUGUUCUAGCCACAGAUGGAAAUGGUAAACUGCGAGGUGAAGAAGAAGGAUACUUAGAUUAUUUUCAGAAGCAUUUUGGAAUAUCACUCAUACCAUACACAACAUGUUCACGAGUUUCAUGAGCAGACAUUAUCAUCGAAAGAUGGCAGAAAAUACAUCUUAUUUUCAGAUACUUAGAUUAUUUAGCUGCACUGCAUCACCGGCCAACAUCCACCAGGUUACCGGGAUACGCUGUCUGUAUGACAUGGCAUACGAGUAUACGUACGUGCGUGCAGGUAGGCGAAGGGCAACGGGGUCGGAGCGUAUGCCUACGCGCCGUAGCCGAGGAGGUGGCUGUUGUUGAGCGGGGGGCACGUGCCGUAGCCGUAGCCGCCGCCGCCGCCGCCGGUGUACUCCUGGGUGGUGCUCUGGUACGACUGGUAGCGGCGGCCGCCGGCGAGCUCCUCGUGUUUCUCGUAGGACUCGUAGCGGCGCACGCCGCCGCCGCCGCCGCCGAGGUUGCCGGCUCCGUGCUUGUCGUACUUGUACGCCCCGUAGCCGUGCAGGCCACCCUGCUUGCUGGCCCCGUGCGUCUCGUGCUUGUACGCCCCGUAGCCGUGCUCCUCGCAGUCGCUCUCGUCGGGGUCGCUCUCGCUCUCAUUCUCGCUGUCGUACGCCUUGAGGUUGUAGUUGUAGCCGCCGGCGAAGUCCGUCCUGCCCGCCUUCCCGUGCGCCCCGUAGCCGUACGCGCCGCGCUGGAGACCUCCGGCGGCUUUGCCGCCGUACACGUCCUGCUUGUACCCGUACUUCUGGACGGCGCCGCCGCCGUAGUGAGAGCCGUACCCGGCGUCGCAGUCGCCGUACGACUCGUGCUGGUAGUUGCUUUUCUUCACCGCUCCGCCGCCGUAGGCAUCCUUGUGCUUCUGGUUGUAGCCGUGCUGCUCCACGCCGCCGCCGCCGUAGUGAUGAGCACCGUAGCCAGCGCCGUUUUCUCCGUAGGACUCCUGCUUGUAUCCUUGCUGCUUCUUCACGCCGGCGCCGCCGCCGUAGUAGGCGCCGUACCCUCCGUCGGCUUCGCCGUACUUCUCAUGCUGCUUGUAGGCGGCGUUCGUCUGCACUCCGGCGCCACCACCGUAGUGAGAGCCGCCAUACCCUGCGCCGCAGUCGCCGUACGACUCGUGCUGCUGGUAGCUGUCUUUCUUCACGGCUCCGCCGUACGCGUCCUUCUGGUAGCCGUGCUGCUGCACGCCGUACGCCGCCUGCUGGUCGUAGGCGUACGUCUGCAAGGCGCCGGCAGCACCGCCGUAGUGAGCACCACCAUGGCCCGCGUUGGUUUGCCCGCAGGCCUCCUGCUCGUAGCCUUGCUUCUUUACGCCGCCGGCGGCGGCGCCGUAGUGGGAACCGUACCCAACGUCGGCCUCGCCGUACUUCUGCUUGUAGCCGUGGUUCUUGACGCCGGCUGCGGCACCCUCGCACGUCGUAUACGCCUCCUCCGUGUAGGAUGAUUGCUUCUGCACGGCGCCGCCACCAUGGUAGCCGCCGUAAGACCCUUGGUCCUGCUCCACGAACACCUCCUCCUCCUUGUAGGCCGCCUGCUUCUGCACGCCGCCGGGGCCGGCGCCGCCGCAGCCGGGCUUGUCGUUGACGCUCAUGCGGUUGAUCUCCGUGACGAGGGUGGUCACGGACUCGGUGCUUUGGCGGUGGUAGUUCAUCUGGGGCUUGCUGUUGCCGUAGCCGUAGCCGUAGGCGCCAUAGCCGUAGCCGUAGCCGGCAUUGCCACACUUCACAGUCGCAUCCAUGCUGAUGAGCUAGUUCUCUUUUGCUCUGUGUUGGUGUAUCUGAUCGAUCUGCCUGGGGAAAUCUGGCGUUUUAUAGGCGCCGCGGCGAGAGUGAGAGCAUCUGUGCCCGAUCGACCACUUGCUCCUCUGGAUGGUAAGGUGGCUGCAGGCCGGCGGCAAUGGAUAUGUGCUCGUCGAUCCGUAGCUAGCUUUAUAUCCAGGCAGGCAUCUUGAAAUGCUCGGCCGAUUAGAGCUAUGUGUACCUCCGGCUUUUAUAAUCUAGGCAUCUUAUAAUGUGACGAAGCAUCACGCAUCUACUGCGAUCAUUGGAGUGCGAAAAAGCGAAAAAAAAAUGCAAAAAUAUCCUAUUCGCGAGCCAUAUUUGAUGGACUCCUUUUACCUGCCUAGCAGGAAUGCUUAUCAUCAUGCCUUUACGCGAUGUUCAUCAGUGAUUCUGUGCAUUGUUCGACGAGCGUCACGCGAUGCUCAUCUGAUUCUAUACGACGGUUGCAGACUUGCAGUUGGUAUUGCACACACCCACCGUCACCCCGGCCCCGGCAUCGCCCAACCGGUACUAUCAUAGCCUCUACGAUCGCCUUGACGCUGCCGCUCUGCCUGGCACCACGGUCAAAUGAGGCCUACCUCUAAGCCCACUGAAUUUUUCAUGAAAACCCCACCCCCAAACGACCACCUUCACACCAACCACGUCGGACCUCACCGGAGCUGAGGGGGACGAAUGGAGAUUCAAUCACAGUGCAAAACAGAUGUCAAGAGCAUGAAUUGGACGCUUAUGGAACGACCAUGAAUUUUAGUGUUGGCGAGCGCCAAAACACUACUAGAAUUUUACGCGUCACGAGCAUCGCAACCUAGAAAGAGCGUACUACACGUUUUCGCUCGUUCGCUUGUUUUUUUUUUUGAGGGUCGUUCGCUUGGUAUUUGAUUGUCGCGCACAAUCAGGCCCAAUCCACCACUCGUCUGGUCGGCGCUUCGUUGUCAGCAGCGGGCCGACCUGAUUGAUAUGGGCCUAAUCGGCAUUUAUCAAAAAAAAAAAUUGAGAAUACAAGCCACAAAAUAGUACAUGUAUCAUGUACUCCGUAUGUGCGCUAGCGGCGACACGUUAGCGAUCGAGCUGACGCAGCGCAGUCCAUGCAUGGUGCGUGGCCGCCCGUUGCAGCCGUUAGCGAGUUCACGUCUUGCCAUUGCCCAAAUCCAAGCUGCGGAGAGAGAACGUGCAGAGGAGGAAGAAGAAUGAGCGCCGAAGCACCUAGCUGGGAGAACAGGGCAAAGAGCGAACCGGAAUUGUUUAGAGCCUAUUAGCACAUUUCUUUUUCUACUGAAGUCACAGCAAACAAACCACACGUGCAUUUACUGUACGGGUGGACGCGAUCGACCGGGAGAGUACAAUUUAUUUACGUAUAUACGAUUAUAUUAGCUAGGUUGUCACCAUCAGCUUACGGCCUGUUCGCUUCAGCUUAUAAGCCAGCUGAAAAGCUGAAACGACUGAUUUGUUGUAAGAGAAAAACACUGUUUAGUGACUGAUAAGCCGGCUCAAUAAGCUAAAGCGAACAACCACGUACGUUACGCCCGUAGCAGUCACGUCAGGGCACCCGCCUAGCGCUUUGGCGGCGGGUAAUGAUGUCCGUCGGAGUUGCGGCGGCGGCAGCGGUCGAAGUCCCCGUCGCCGCCCCCAGCUCUGCGGUGGUGCUUCGCGGCGCCGGCGCCACCGUAUCCGUUGCAGGGACCCCUCAACAUGGCUUCUCGAUCGAGCGAAUUGGUUUCGGACUGGUAUGGUGGGUCGAUCGGGAAGGUACGGCUCGGUCGCCACAUGGAUUGGCUUUUAUAGGCGCGCUAGCGCCUCCUCGCUGCCGGUGAUUCUCUCUCAUGGAUGGUUGAUGCAUCGUACGACAGCGGUGCUCUCCGGCCGAACUGGCCUAUGCAGAGCGUUUUACCUUUACCCGUCAAGUCCACUCCACUAGUUAAGGUGAGUGAUAGGUUUCUGCAAGCAUUAUGUUCCGCUGUCAUGCAUAUUCGACUAGUGUAAACGAUGAUAAAGCAGCAAAGAUCAUAUUCGCAAGCCAUAUUUUUUUCACGCUCUGAUCGUUGAAAGUGAGGAAUGUUAGGUACAAUAAAUAUUCUCAAGGCAGAUUGGUCGAAAAAAAUAUUCUCAAGGCAACAUUUGCCCAUGCGUACAAACAUUAUUUUUUUUUAAAAAAGACUAGUAUUACUAAUUGGAAAUAGCCUCCACGUAUCAAAUAUAAAUUAUGUGGUGGAGCACGCCUAGUAAUAACAGUAAAAAUAAAAACGAAAUAUUAUUGUACCAUAACAAAUAUAGAAGUGUGAGGAAAAAAAGAAAUGUCUAAUUUAAUAGAGGAAUAUAGAACGGAAACAAUCGCUUAUAAAAUGUAACUAUGUGCAUUUUCAAAAAGUGAUACUCUAUUCCCUCCGUUUAAAUUAUGAGUUAUUUUAGUUUUGUCGGAAGUCAAACUUCUAUAUCUUUAACCAAACUGCAGGUUGGGCUGAAGCUUUCAGCAUUCAGAGCAAGUCAGAUAACCCAAAUUCCUCCAGAAUCACUGACUCGCAUCACAGACAACUGCAAAAGCAGGCAGUGGUGCUCUGCCCUGGUAAUCAGCAUUUGCUUUUUUUUUCCGAAAAUACGUAGGACAGCUGCGUAUCUUAAUAUUAAGAAGAAAGAUAAUCAACAUUUGCAAUACUGAACAUUUGCACUUGCAAAGACUGAAACACACCAGCUUUAACUUUCAAAGUUCACCAUCUCGCAAGACCUGUUUCCACUACCUAUCACUAACCAAAACUCCACUUCCUUAUGCAUGCAUAUAACGAACAAUCUUCAGAUCACAGAUGGCCAUUACAUCUGAAGGAACACAUGCUGACCACUGCCACUGCAGGACCCUUCCCACUUUUGGUCGAGUGCCCAUUUCUCACCCUCCUCCAACAAGAUUCGCCACUUCUUCACAAAGGUUUGCUGGGUACCUUGUUUCCACGGACAUCUUGUUGCAAAUUCUCUAUAGAGCCCAGCCCAAGCCACCCCUGCACAAAGAAGCAAACAUGUUUCAAGUAGAUCUGCAGUUUUGGAUCCUGUUUUGAAAGAUCUGUCAUAAAAAAAAUCUUCAUUUUCGAAAGGAUUUUAUAACUCCAUAGCUUUGUGGCACCCAUGCUAGUCAUUCCUCUGCAAGUGUAGAACUGAUGAGAUAGAGAUCGGUAGUGUAUGUCUUACAUUUGGCAAUAAAUUUCAUGCUCUCCAUUAGUCAGGCACACAUGACUUUGUGUUUUUCCAUCAGAUCCUCCCACACAAGAGUUUCUGCUAAUUUCUAGGCAUUUUCUGGGCAAUGAAUGCGUCCAAGUAGCCAAUGAUCUUAUGAUAGAACUUGGAAAUGUUAUGUUAGUGCAAACAAUUGAUAUGAUCAGUUUCAAGCAAAACAGUGUGGAAGCAAAAGAAAUGAAUGCAUAAAUUUCUGUCAGAACACAUGUCCACAAGUAAACCAAAUUAAGAUGUUGGAUGGACGACGCACGCCGCCGCCACCAACACCCACCGCCACCGGGCUUCGCCGGCACGAAGCAUCCGGAUCGGGGGCGCCAUCUCAGUGCGGCACGGCGCACAGAUCAAAGCAGCACGGCGGAGGAUCGGCGAGGCGUAAGCGUACCUGGUUGAGGCGAAUACGCGCGCUUUAGGUCCUUGGAGCGAGGGAGGGGAUGGGUUGGAGCGAAGAGCUCGUGCUAGGGCUUGAGGAUGUGGAAGGGAUGGAUGGCUCGAGCCUUGCGCUUGCAGUGACCGACGGCGCUGCGGCCGGCGGCGGCGCUGGAUCGCGGAGAGGAGAGGAGGGUGAACCUGCCCAUACGACGACGACGGAGUGCUUACUUGUAAAUACGUAGGUUUUUUUUUUGCAAAAUAUCGGAUCGCGAUCCAAAUUAGAGACUUUAAAAAAUCCUCCUAAUUUGGAUCGCGAUUAUAGUAAUUGCGAUCCAAAUUAGGGGUGCCAUUGAAAAAUACUUGAUCCGAUAUUUUUAGAAAACCCCUAUUCUCCAGGUCGGCGAGACGUCGGCCGACGAGGCCGUGCUGCCACCGGCGGAUCCAUCCGCCAACAGAGCGCACUAAAGACGCGGCUCCGGCGCCGGCUUCCUCGGGCCUCAGGCGCCACACCCGCGCCGCUAGUUCCGGCUCCACGCCACUGCCUUUCAACUGGAGCCUGCUGCCUGAUUGCUCACCUUCUCCUGCACGCCACCAUGGAGACGACGAGGAGGUAGAAGAAGAGUAGAAGACACAGCCGGUGGAAAGAGAAGAAGAAGAAGGCCUUGAUUGAUGUCGACGUUCGGCUCUGCCCUCCAACGCCGUUAGGCAGAGGCGCCGCCGCCGCCCGGCGACGAGACGGACGCCACGGACACGUACAUCGUCAGCAUGGCCAAUACAAGCCCGGCCGGGGGCCGGCGUCCUCGUCCUCAGCGCCGCCACGUGCUCCACCUCCACACCACCCGCAGUCCCGCACCCCCGAGUACCUCGGCCUCGACAGGGUCAACGGCCUACUUCCUCGCGCAUACCAGCGGAGGCAGCGACGUCGUCAUCGGCUCAUCGGCCUCGUCGACACCGGGGUGUGGCCCGAGAACCGGAGCUUCGAUGACGCCGGGUAGGGCCGGGGGCCCCGUGGCGGGCCAAGGAAGGGUCCAACUUCACCGCGUCGGCGUGCCACAAGUCCACAACAAGCUAGCUCAUCGGCGCGCGGUCCUUCACGGCGUCGUACCAGUCGUUGCGAACAAGGGCGCCGGGCCAGACUGGACCAAGGGAAAGGGGAAGCGGUCGCCGCGGGACGUUCUCAGGCACGGGACGCGCACGGCCAGCACUGCGGCGGGAGACGCGGUGCGGGCGCCGGCCAGGGGCAUGGCGCCGGCGUACAAGGCGUGCUGGGCCGGCGGGCGCUACAGCGCCGACAUCCUGGCGGCUUUGGAGGCCGCGGUGGCGGACGGCGUCGACGUGCUCUCCGUCUCCGCCGGCGUCGCGGCGGGCGGAGACCUCGCGGCCUGCUUCAAGGACGCGUCUUGGCUCGCCAUCGACCGCGAGUUCCACGGGCAAGGGUGGGCUCUGCUUAGCCGAUGUCAAACAUUAUGUAAGCGGCUGCACAGUGGGCACCAUCGCUGAUUCCAAAUUUAAUUUGAAGGAGACAAGCAAGCACAAAUUUUUAUACGGUGGAUGCAGAGCACCGAUCAACUGUGGGGGUACAAUUUAUUUACGUACGAUUAGCCCGGCAUCACCAGAUUAUUAUUUAAGCUGCAGUGCUGUGUACCCCAUGCAUCAACGUGGUGUCUACCAAUACGGAGUCUCGCAUCCAGGUGCACGAGAGCCGGCGCAAUGGCUGCUAGCUCAUGCGCAGCGUUGGCCGCGCUUGAGCUGGGCGUAGCCGCCGCCGCCCACGACCUCCUCUUCGUCCUCGUAGCUGGUCUCUUCGUAGCUCUCGUACUCGUAGCGGCGCCCGCCGCCGGCGUGUCCGUUCCCGUGGCGGCGGCCGGCGCUGUAGGUCUCCUCCUCGCACGACUCCUCGUAGGUCUCCUGGUAAGUCUCGUAGCGGUGGGAGCCGCCGCCGUUGUGGUGGCGGUGCGCCUGCUGCUGCUGCUGCAGGGCGUGGUUGCUGUGGCCGCGGCGGGGGUCGUAGCAGUCCCCGUCCACCUCCUCGAACGACUCCUUGUGCACGGCCGUGUGGUGCUGCACGGCGCCGCCGCCGCCGGUGUGGCGCGGGUUCCCGGCGAAUUUGGUGACGUGCUCGGAGUGACUGCGGUGGUAGUUCAUGUUCAUGUCGGGUUGCGGCUGGCCGUAGCCGCCGUAGCCGCAGGAACUCCUCCGCAUGGCUGCUGGCACGCUGGUGGCUAAGCGAUUGGUUUCCCUGCGCUACCUGUGCCUUGGCAGUUGGCUCUCGGCACUGCAUGGAUCGAUCGGCUUGGGGUUGUGUUUUAUAGGAGCGAUACGAUAUUGCUUUAGGCUACAUGCGUUUUCACUGUGGAAUGUGGAUUGCAGCAUUUGUUCUGGGCUGGUAGUGGUAGGGUAGUAGGACAGACACUGCUCUGACAGUCCGACCUGAUCAAUGGCUUUAUUCUUCUUCGAGUCCAGUCAGGCGAGUCCUCAGGCCUGCACGAGCAUCUAGUUCGUUGUGGGCGGCAUGGCAUAAACAAUACCAAAAUGAUUAAAGCAAUGAUCCGGCUUGCCCCGUAAAUGGUGAUUGGUGAAGCAGCAACGAGAUCCUAUUCGCGUGCCCUAUUUGACGGCUUAUUUUUUGCCUUGCUAGCUGUAGUAGGCAAGUAGCAAAAAUAUGCAGCAGUUGCAUUUUAACCCCACAACGUAUCACGCGUUGGUCAUAUCACCUCCUCAAGUACUACAAAACCGGAUGUUUAACUCUCUAACCUGCACAAAACUGUUUAAAUGACCCCCUGAGGUAGCUUUGCAUGGUAGUUUUGCCACGUUGGCAUGCUGAGAUGGACGGAGAUGCUGGUGUGGAUCGACUGAUACGCGAGCUCUGUUUGCAAGUUGACAGGUCACGGUCCUCUAUCUUAGUCUUCUCCUCCCUCUCCCAUGGCCGCUCCAGCGCUCCACUCAACAUGCUCAUUGUCCUUGAGCAGCGGGAGCCUGCCGACGAGGUCAUCUGAGCAGCAAGUUCAGGCGUGGGCACAGCGGGUUAGCUGCAGCUUUGGUGCCAAAGGUCAGGGCACCCUUGCUGGGUUUGUGCAAGCCCACGCACGACGAUGUUGCUCUGCUCUAGGCCGAGGUUCUCACACAACUGAUGCGGUAGCUGCUCCGCGAGCGCCUCCAGGACGUCGCCGUCGUCACGCUUGCUACAGGGCCCGGCAUGGUUAUCGAAAAUCAUACCGAAAAGAAAUCUGGCCGAGCCGAGCCCGUCCAGACUAUUGUUUCAUUUAUUUUUUCUAUUAAUUAAAGAAGAACGGGAAGGCUGAGCUGACCCAAAAAUGAUCCCGACAAUAUCUAUGUGAUAGUUUUGGGCUCAAAUUUUCGAUCCGAAAUAAAUCGGGCUUUUGUUGGCCCGGUUUGAAAAAUGCUCUAGGUCUAGUUAUAUGUACCAGAAAUCACUAAUAAACUUUGUGAAGGUCUGAAGGGGUGUGAAGAGAGGUAAAAACUUUUCCACCUUUCAUCAUGAUUGCGCUGCAUGCUCUGCUGUGGACUGGAGCAGCCGGGGUCCGGUCCUUCACCUGAUCAUCUCCAACAGAUCGAUCCUCACUUCCUGCUGGUCAUGUGCACCUCAGCUUUUGCUGUAACGACAGCGUACCCUACGAUUCAUUUUGGGGCAAUCUUUGCUACGAUUUUAACUUCUGAGGAGACAAGGGACAAGCAAUCAUACGAGCUGAGCUAAAUCAAACGAGCAGGCCUGAUAUACCAGCCGGUACAGGGCACAAAUUUUCAUAUCGGUGGAUGCAGAGCACCGAUGGAUCAACUGGGGGAGCACAAUUUAUUUACGUACGUACGAGUAGCCCGUUUUUUUGCCGGAUCAUUUUAGCUGCAGUGCAGUGUGUACCCCAUGCAUCAACGUUGGCAUCUACUGGAGGUGCGCCUGCUGCUGGAGGGCGUGGUUGUUGUGGCCGCGGCGGGGGUCGUAGCCGUCCCCGUCCACCUCCUUGAACGACUCCGUGUGCACAGCCGUGUGUUGCUGCACGGCGGCGGCGGCGCCGCCGCCGCCGCCGGCGUGGCAGGGGUUCCCGGCGACUUUGGUGACGCGCUCGGAGUGCGUGUCGUGGUCGUCCAUGUUGGGUUGAGGCUGGCCGCUGCCGUGGAAGGCACUCCUCCGCCGCAACCGCAUGGCCAUAGUGAUUGGUUUCCCCUGCGUUUACCCUGUGCCUUCGCACUUGGAUCGCUAUGGUUCGCGGCUUUGCGUGGAUCAACUUGGCUGCUUGGGGUUCUGUUUUAUAGGGGCGCUAUGAUUCUUAACUGCAUGCGUUUUCACUGUGGAUUGCAGCAUUUGUUCUGGCUGGUAGAGUGGUAGUGGUAGGGUAGGACAGUCAUUACAAUAUUUGCUCCGACCUGAUCCAUGGCUUUAUUCUUUCAAGUCCACUCAGGCGAGUCCUCAGGCCUGCGCAGCGCAUCUAGUUCGCUGUGGGCAUGGCAUGGCAUAUACAAUCCCAAAAUGAUUAAAAAGCAAUGAUCAAAGCCGCACAGAUCCUAUUCGCGUGCCAUAUUUGACGGUCUUUUUUUUUUUUGGCCUUGCUAGCUGUAGUAUCGAAAUACACGCAGCACUUGCAUAACAAUGCAGAUCAAUGAUUUGAAUCAUAUGAAGCUUGCAUUUUUUGUGGCUUGUUAGUGCCAGUCAGUCACAAAACGUGUGCUACGAAUUAUCCGACCAUAAAGUACAACAGGGGAUCUCGCAAAAUGGAAUCCAAGAGAUCAAGAUAACAGUAGUACAGCUAGGAGAAAAGAAGGAAGUGGACUCAAGUUUCAAACCCUAAAAAACGCAGGACCCAAAGAGCGAGCAAAUUGAAAACAAUUCCCACUUAGAGUUACACCCCCGUACCCCUCACGGAGCCCCACCUGCCAGGGCAGGAGGGUGACGAAAAGGUGUGACGAAGGGUGAGAGGACAAAAAACUGGAUGAUAGAAAAUGAUUCUGCUAAAAACCUCUUUUUUCUCCUUACCCACCCGCGCGUACCCUCCCGCGCGCUAAUUACGUUCCUGAUUUUUUGGGUGAGGUCUCCUUCCUUUUUCACGCUCUGCCGUUCCGCAACUCCAUGAUUUUCUCCGUGGUUUCCUUCCUUUUACACUCUUGAUUGAUCGGUAGACUUCCUAUUGAGAGCCUUCCUUUUGAGAGCCUUUAAUUUAAUUUCGUUCCUAUUUUUUCUCCAUGGUCUCCUUCCUUUUCCAUGCUAUGUUGUCCCGCGACUUCAUGAUUUUCUCUACGGUUUCCAUCCCUUUACAUGCCUUUUACAUGCUCUUGAUUGAUUGGUAGCCUUUGUAUUGGGAGCCUUCCUUUUGAGAGCAUUUACUUUAAUUCCAUUCCUAAUUUUUCUCCAUGAUCUCCUUCCUUUUCCAUGCUUUGCCGUCCCGCGACUCCAAGAUUUUCUCCGUGGUUUCGUUCCUUUUUACACGCUCUUGAUUGGUAGACAUCCUAUUGAGAGCCUUUAAUUUAUAGGUAUGGCGAUGGCAAGUUCUCUCCUACGUCCAAGUCUCCUUCUUGCUUCACGUCCUCCUUCCACCGAGGGGCUAUUACUGGACCUCCACACCCUAACGUAGGAACGCAAUCGAGAUCAAAGGUCUACUAGUCCUUCCACUGAGGACUAUUGCCGGACUUCCACAUCCUCGUGGUGGAACUACAUGCUGGAACUCAAAUGGCUGUCGGCACCAUUUGAUCAAUUUUGCAACCGCCCGGCGAAGGAAGGCCACUGUUGUAAGAUCACCACGCCAAUUAGGUAAGGCCCUAAACCUUCAUCUUCUUCCUACUAUAUAAGGUACUUAUGCAUGUUUGAUCAUGUAAUUUCACAAUGUGAUGAUUCCAUAUGUUCUCCACCCUAGACCGCAACGAAACAUUGUCAGAUUGAUAAUCCAUUAUGUUUGUGUACAACUCCAAAAUCUCUAGAUAUCUGAGAGUGAUAAUCCAUGAUGUUUUGAGUUCAUGACAUUGUCUACAUUAUACAUUGAGUUCAUGACAAUGCCCUAUAUCUUGUGUUUAUGCGGCUGACUUUUAGCCAUUACGUAUUAUUCCAUUAUCAUUGUAUCAUGUUACCUGUGUUGCUCUACAAAGAAUGAUAAAUUCUUUUUUUUACUCACCAACAGUACAUAAUCCAUCAGAUCUUUCAUUACAUGAUAUCUGAUCAAGAUGGGUCAUCGAGCCGUGCUUGGAGAUGUGAUGAACACACACGUAAGCGGAGCAUCGAUCCAUGGUGUUAAGAGACCUAGAGAAGGUAUCUAAUUUUUGGUUGAAUCAUAAUGUUCUGGUUUCAUAUUUGGUUGAAUCCCAAUGUUCUGGUUGCACAUAACAUAUUAAGGAGACUUAUCCAUGUAACCUUUUGAGCGCAGGUGAAAAUGUUGAUGAUGCAGAAUGACAGAAAGCAAGGGAAUGAUAUGCAAAUAUGCCAUUGGAGAAGAAGGCUGAGUGGAAUGCAAAGAGAAGGGAAGAUCAUCAGCGUAAAAAGGUGGAGAGACAAUCAAGCAAUGGCAUGCUGGAACCUCUCAGACAAUUAGGCAGUGUCAUGCAUGAACUUCUGGGAGAACCAUCAUGUGAUGAACCACCUCUCAAACAAUUAGGCAAUAUCUUAUACAUUCAUUAAAAAUUGUGAGUCAGUAUAGUAGGAUCCUUAAAUUAUGAUAUAGUUUUUUUUACUUUCACAGGGAUAUCUCAUGAUAUGGAUCGGGUGAUGUUGGUGGGGAUUGGCUUAGUAGGAACCCCAGCUAUACAAGAUCACUGAGAACUUAUCAUAUGCUACCAAUCUUCGUAUCAGGUCUGAUAGUAGUACCUUGACAUGAUGUUCAAUAGGUUUUUUAAUUGAUAUCUUUAAGCAUUUACAAUUUGCAUCCCAGAUCUUGAUGAGAUGCCUCUGGAUGUUCUAGGAUUGGAUGGAGUCAAGGAAACGGAUGACGAGGGAAGGCAAAUAUUGAAUUGUCACAGAGAAGUAAGCAAACAUCUGACUUCGUGUUUACUGGUAUGGCUUAUAUGAAACCCAUGUAGCCCUAGCAUAUAAUCAUACAUGCAGGAUAUCGCCUCUAACAAUAGGCAUGUAUAUUUAUAUAUUUAAAGAUGUACCAAUGAUUAGCAUUGUCCCUAAUGAUGUGUCUCUACAAGAUCUGAGAGUGGAGGAAAGCAUGGAAAAGGAGGGGCAUACAUUUGCCUCAAUGUCAGCUGAUAAGAAAAGCGUGAGGAAUGCCAAAAGAAGAGCAAAUUACCAUCACUCAAAGUGCCAGGAAGAGGCAAUCUUCCUUGAUGUAGAAAAACCUAAUCUCGCCUUCACUGGUAUGCAUGUUAAUUUUUGCCUACAAAAUUUGAUGGAGUUCCAGCGACUUGCAAUUAUUCUAAUUUUGCGCUACAAGCAGGAGAAAUUGGAUAUAGACAAUCUGUGGUAACGGCAAACAUUGCAACUCCAGAUGCAUGUUUGAAAUUGUACUGCCUAUGUUUAAAAUUUUAUUUAAGCACAUGGAUGCGUAUAUAAGUUUUUUUAAUAAGGUGACCAACAUAUUGGAGUAGAGGUGUCUCCGGAGGAACUGAAGAGGUUAAGAGAAAGGAAAAGAUAUGUUGAACUAUCUGACUUUGAAAGACAACAAAAAAUAUUAAAAAAUAACAAUGGACGACACAAUAAAAUUUCUAAACAAGGUACUAUAUUUGAGCUAUUUUCUCAAAUUCCAUUAAUUGUUUUAUACUAUAUAUAAUUAUGUUGUUCCAUUUUUGGGCGAAUGUUUCAGAUAUAGGGUUACAAACCCCUAUUGGAACAUUGCAGUCUGCGGUAACCCAGUUAGGGUCUGGUCCAAGAACAAGGGGUUCUAUUAAUAAUGAAAAUGCCGAACCUAAUCAAUCUGGUUUAUAAGAACCAGACAAUCCAUUGCACGGAAUAGAAGGUAACUUUAAAUCACUUGGUCUUGUCUAUGAUUUUCAUUGUACGUUGACAAUAUCCCAAUUAAUAUAUUGUAUUCUAUUCUACAAUGAAACAGAGAACAAUUUAGAUGAGAUGGAUCCUGACCAAGAAGGAGAUGAUAAGUUAGAUGAUGGUGAAGCGAGGGUAUUUUACCAACGAGGUAUGUUAUAUAUUAUUGAAAUGAAUGUAACUUUCCUCUCGCAACAAGAUGGUUUAUAAUUAAUUAUUGGUUUAUGGCAGAUAUCCAUUACAAGUAUUAUAGAGAUCUGGAUAUGGCUUCUAAGGGUCCUGAACCAUUUGAUGGAGUGUACAUGAACCUUCCUAAGAAGCAUCAUGUGUUGAAGAAGGCCAAAAACUGUGAGUUCUGCAAUGCGAAGAAGUUCCUUGGUGAAAGACCUGCUUUAUGUUGCAGGAAUGGGAAGGUCCACAUAUAUGUCCCAGAAGUUUUGUCUGAGCUUCGCCGGUUAUUUACGAGUCAAACGGAUAGGGAUGCAAGGUAUUUCAGAAAGCACAUAUGGUACUUCAACUCACAUUUCUCUUUCACCAGCUUUAGGUUUUCCAUUGACCGUCAUCUCGCGUAUGCAAGAGGUAAUGGUGUGUAUACCUUUAAGGCACAUGGCCAGAUUUACCAUAAGCUCGAUCCACUUGUGCCGGGUGGGAAAGGGCCACGCCAUAUGCAGCUCUACAUUUAUGACACGGAUGAUAGUAUUGGUUAUCGUGUUAAGACAUCCCCUAAUCUUGAUGAGAACCGGAUCCGCUUGAUCCGUGGUAUUUUACGGGACAAUCCGUACAUCCAAGUGUUCACAAGCCUAGGUACUCUUGCAGAUAUUCAAGAGUACAUGAUUGAGUUGAAUACCAAGAUUUCUAUUGAUUAGAGGAGAUACAAUGCACCCAAAAUGGAGCAGAUUGCGGCUAUCUAGGUUGAUGGCAAUAACUCUCAGCAUAGGUUCUCCCGGAGCAUUGGAUAUAUGGAAAAUGAGAUGAUCCGUACUAUAUUAUGGCGUACCAUGGCUGUUAUGACCCAUUGGCAUAUCCUUUGUUUUUCCCUUGUGGCGAGACUGACUGGGAGGACAAGACGAUAGUGUUUCGAGAUCCACCACCAUCAAAGCCAAAGUGGAAGUAUACUAAGCGUAACAGGAAAAGGUAUGCGUAUUCCACCAUUCUUUCGUACUUCAUCCAUAGAUUCAUUGCACUCACUAUAUGAAAUCUGAUGAUUUAUGCUGCAACAUAGAUGGAACUGAAGCCGAUGUGGGUGAUCGUACAAACAAUGACCACUGUGUCGUGCAAGGACGUAAAAAAAGAGUCGCUCAUGGUAUGUACUAUUUUUCUUGUGCUUUCAUACACACUUCACUUUGCUGUAUUUGUAAAGUAUUUAUUUACUUUUGCCUCAUAGAUCCGCAUAUUGAUGAAGCAGAUGACACAGCAUAUGGUGACUACAUCAAUGAGGAGGUGUGUAUGCAGAUAUGCCAUAUUAUAUCAUUCACAAAUUUAAGAUUGAAAAGUAAGAGCGUCGGAGGAGAGGAGGUGGAGCGGUGGCGGCGGUGGAAGAGAGGAGGGGGUAGCGGCGCUAGCACCGGAGGAGAGGAGUGGCGAAGCGAUACCGGCGGUAGAGAGGAGGAGAGGUUCGAGAGAGGCAACAGGCAGGUGGCGGCGGGAGAGAGAGGAGGGGUAGUGGUGGUUAGGGUUUAGAUUUAGUUUUAUGUGGGGUGGAGGGUAACGGGCCAAUACAGGCCGGCACCCUAAAAUCGUGCCGGGCCGGGCCGCCCGUCGUGCCGAGGUGGCGGCCCACGCCCGGCAUGAGCCAUUAGGCUGAGCCAGCCCGAGCUCAAAGAGUUACGGGCCGGGCCAGGCUUAGGACGGGCCAAAAAACCGAGUUUUGUGUUGGGCUGUCAGGCUGCUGGCUGCAUGGACUAUCUAUACCCUAAAUGAAACUUAAUUAAACCAUGGAUGUAAUAAUUAAUAAGUAGAAGGAAAAAAAUCAAACUCAAUUAUGUAUUAAAUUCAAUGAGAUUCAUCAAUUAAAACUAUGGAUGUAAUAAUUAAUAAGUAGAAAAAAUAUAAUCAAACUCAAUUCUAUAUUACAUUAAAAUGAUAAACAUAGCAUUGUAAUGGUUAUAAUAUGACCAUAGAAUUUUAUUUAAAAAAAUAAUCCAUCUUUAGUUAUUUUCUCUCUCUUCUAGGUCUAGAUCUUGAUCUAGAUGACAACCUAAUGAAGCUAGAAAUGAUGUAUAGAAGUUGAAAAUGAAGGUUGGAAUGGCACAUACUUACCUUUUAUAGCCACCUCCUCCAAAGAAAACAAGAGCUCCAAAUGGAAGGUUGGCUGGUGAAGAAGCUGUUCGCGACUUUAUCUGGGCGGCAUCUGUGCUAGCGGGCCACCUAACGCACCCGCCAGCACAUAUGCAUCCCAUGUGUGCUGGCGGACGCUUAGCUCGCCCGUCAGCACAGAGCUGGCUCUGUGCUGGCAGGCACUAGCCCGGUGGCCCCGAUCAUCUUUGUGCUGGUGGGUGCCAAUUUCACCCUUCAGUAUGCUAAUUUUGACGUGCCAACACAAAUCAUUUUCGGGGUAGCGUUUCUCUUGGCCCUGAUCUUGUGUGGUUGUGUUGGUACUUGGUACUCGGUAUGGCCUGGCACUGGCACCGCAUUGGGUCGGCUUUUAUAGGAGCUCAACACGCGUAGUCAUGGGCUCGCUCAUGGCAUUGAUGGAAGAAGAAUUUGCGCAGUAGGGUAGUGCAGGGGCUGCAGGCUGCUCAGCUGAUGGGCUCGGACCGUCGGACGUGGUCAGUUGCUUUAGUUUUUGAGUGAUCGAGUCCACUAAUGUCUCGAGCAUCAUCGAGAACAAUUCUGGUGCUCAAACCCCUUGAGGUAGUACUCCCGAGUGACAAAUAAAAAAAGAUCAUAUCCUUCGCAAAAGAAAAGGAAAAAAAGCUGAGAGUGGAAAAUCAACCGAUAAAAGAGGCGAUUAGAAAUUUGCAGACCGGCAGUAGUGAAUUGUUAAUGCGCCUUGCGUUGUGAUUAAUUAAAUACACGAAAGGCUGCUUGUACAAUCAGGAAAAAUUGCCCUCCUGGCACUCACUGGCAAAACCACGGAUCGGAGCUGCUUCCCUGGGGCAAAACGAUUUCCUCGCAUGCAUGCUGGAGAGCAAGACCGGAUCGUUCACCCUCUAGCCGUGAUAUCUUGCUCCAUGAGGGAUCUCUGCUAGCUCUACAAGCUUGGGCGCGCGCCAUGGCUGCCAUGAUGCCCAGCAGCCGGUCCGGGUCCGCCCCUUCACCUGCGACGACGACAGAUCACAGAACGGCGAGCCGAGGCGGGGAGAGAGAGCGAGAGCGUCACCAGAUGCAACGUGGCGCAGGAAGCGAGGCAUGCAUCCAGGAGGAAGAAGAAGGAGAUCGGGAUGGUCAGACUCAGACAGGCGGCGGCGGCGCUCCGGCGAGCCGUGGCGUGAAGCAGAGGCGGCGUACCAUGCGACCUAAGGAGCGGUCGUUGUUUCAGAAAAUACCGUCCACCCCUUGGGAGCCUGUGAACCGUCCGGUCGAGCCUGUGUGGCCCAGAAUAGACCCACGGCGGGAGGCGCCUGCCUCGUCAGGCUCGGAUGACGGGCGCGUACAUGGCGGCCCGCCGAGACUGAAGAAGCAGAGGAUGUCUGGCUCGCUUGCCCGGGCUUCGAGCACCAGUGGCGGCGGCGCGAUUCUACACGUGUUCGUGUAAAUGCCUCACUACCGCAACGAUUUCGGUGGGGGAUGCAAACUCGCGCAGGUCCCGCCUCCCGCCCCGAUUACGCUCUCGGAACAAAAACAAAAGGAAAACAGUAGCAGCACAGAGCGUGCCUCGAAACCUUUUAUUCAUGUCACGGUCUUAUUCUUGUAUGUAUACAUAAAGUGCAUGCAGUGUGCGUACACACACUCAUGUGACCGUGCACACCGUACACAUAGCUAGCUAGCUGUCAGGACGCAGGAAGCAGCUGGCAGCGCUGCGUUCCUGACGAUGACCGUGAAGUUCACCUCGAUCGUCCGAUCCGCGUUCAGGCGUAGUACUCGCCGGUGCACGAGUCGUAGCGCUUGCUCUCGCACGCGUCGUAGUGGCGCCCGCCGUGGCCGUAGCCGCCGUGCCCGUGCCCGUGCAGGUGGUGCUGCUCGCGGUGCUCGCCGAGGUGGCCGUGGCAGGACCCCUCGUGCCCGGCGUAGCCACCGACGUGGUGGUGGUGGUGGCUGCCGCUGCGGCCGAGGUGGCCGCCGCCGUACUGACCGUGGCCGUGGCCGUAGUGGCCCCUGCCGGCGCGCGCCACCUCGUCGAUCUCCUCGUACUCCUUGCGGACGGCGUAGCGCUCGCCGCCCUCGCCGUAGCGGUACCCGGGCUCGGCGUACGGCCUCCUCACGUCCUCCGCGCAGUAGCCGGACUCCGAGUAGUACGCCAUGGCGGCGGUGAUGCCCUGGUGUCAGCUAGCUGAUCAGUUCGUUGCAGUGAACGGACUUGUGUGCGCGGUGAUCUGCAAUGCUGAGACCUGAUCGAUCGAUGCAGGAUAUAUACAUGGACUGGCUCUGCUUUUAUAGGGUGCAAGCAAAGCAACUCAUCCUCAUGCAUGAUUCAGAUGGAAGAAAUGCUCUGGUAAGGACGUGAGGAUGGAUGCAUGAGUGGAGCAGGGAACUUGUUCUGAAAGAUACGUGCGCGCUCACUGCUUUCUGCCGAGCCGUGCCACCUGCACGUUGGGAUCGAAGGUGGAAGAAAACUCGAGACGCGUUUUUACACAGACCGAUCGAUGCCCGGGAAUUUCUUUGAUUGAGAUAAAAAGCUUGAAGCAAGCUACGGGUUGAAGGUUGAAGCAAAGUAGAGUGUAAAUGGAAUAACAAAAGAGCGGCAGAUAUCAAGAUAUGUCCAAUAACAGUUUUGUUCAUGACAAGUAGAAACGAAAAGGAAGGGGACAUGAACUGAAUGAUGGAUCUGGCGUCAGCUGGUAAACUACUGAAAUACAUAGUUUUGGUGUGCAAGAUUUUUUUUUUUGGCAUGAAGCAUCUCACUGUUACUUUAAUCAAUAUAUUUCAGGUUCAAGUGAUUUUGCUGCAGCUUUUGUCCAUUGGUCAUUUAAUUCUUUUCUUUGUACUGCAAGGCUGUUUAUUUGGAUUUUGGUUAUCCUGAAUUCCUGAUCCACCAUCCAUCUACUAACCUAUAAUCUGUUUGUUUUUUUUUUAAAAAAGAUAACCUUAUCUAUCGUAUAACGCUCACAAUGAUAUGCACCCCACCAGUGUAUUCAAGAAGAAGAAAGAGAGUCCAAGAGAGACAUUUGCCCAUUUCCACCAUCAUAUAAUAAGUGAAAACGCACAUCAUCUAAACGACUCAAGUUACACAAUCAAACAAAAGAAUACUGGCCUCAACACGCGAGUGAAGGUUUUACUGAUUUAACACCAUUUAUGUUCAGUUAGGCGACCACUGUCACUUUUUUAUGCAUCUGCAGAAAAACAUGUUCUUCUUUUCCCCUUUUGAGGAACAGCAAUAAACAUGUUAAUACGAGUUACACUAGAUAUCCAGAUCGACGUGUCAUUUGAGUUUUGUGUAUCCAUGAUCCAUGCUUCAAGCUCUAGUUACUAUACACUAUGGUCCUCUAAUAUUCAGAUCAUGAGCUAUAGUGCAAAACCAUUUUGCUGCGUAGAGUUAGAUCUUCCCAUUCAACCAAAGCAGGCAUUUUUGCAGGUUUCUGUAUGUCACCUGCUCCAGAAUUUAGGUUGAAGCAGAGCAACAUUGGCCCUCGAUUCGGUUUAUUUUUUAUUGACAAUCCAUGAAUUGUGGUGUUAUCACCACCAUGGUGCUCCUUUGGCGCGGCGAUACUGAACUGGAACUGGAAGCAUUUCCGUGCAAGGAUGCGCAACCGUACAGUUGCAUGCCUGGUGAAUGCGCCACGUGUACGGUACACGUUACAAUCUUUGAGUACAACAAUCUACCUGGAUGUGGUCCGAUUCACAUCACAAGCUUUUAUUCAUUUAGAUCACAAGCUUAUUAUUUUCGUAGUUCGUACACAGGCUGCGUGCAUGCACACACACCACCGUCAAAGUACGUACACACAUACAUACCCGGCCGGCCGGAUACGGUAUACGCAAACUUAUACUAGCAUCGUACAUAUGGGGGAGCACACACGCGCAUACGUGACACGUGGCUCAGAUCCAGCAGAUACGUGUUCGUUGAUGGAGCUCGCGUGAAGCCGGUUAGUCGUCGGCCCUGACGGCGAAGUUCUCCUUGCGCUCGUGGAACUCGCCGGUGCGGGUGUUGAUGUCCUCCUCGAACUUGCUCUCGCGCGCCUCGAAGUGGCCGUGGUGGCGGCCGGUGCGCGAGACCUUGUCGACCUCCUCGAACUUCUCCUUGACGACGUGCUGCUGGACGCCGCCGUGGCGGCCGAAGCCGGCCGGGCUCGCCACCGACCUCACCUCCUCCGAGCUGUAGUCCACCUCCUGGUAGUGAGCCAUUGGCGAUGCUUGGGGUUUGGGUGUUGGGUGUAGUGCCUGUGACUUGAAAGUGCUUGUGAAUUGUAUGGGAUGACUUGUGUGCUGGAUGCUAGGGUUGGGGCCGGGGUGCGCUUUUAUAACGCCUGGAAUGAAGCGCAUGAGUGGAGGGAGGAAUAAUCGGUGCGAAAGAAACCUGUGUGCAGCUGCUUUAUUGAUUAUUGUGUGUUUUUUCUUCGCUUUUUACCGUUCAUCUAGAGGAAGUGUUUGGACUGUACUGGCCAAGUUGAUGUUAGGAUGUCUAGGGCAUUUUUAAGUGCAAUUUACAUGUUCAUAUAAAGUUCAAUUGUAUUCUAAUUAACAUCAUAUAUGCAGUUCCAUUGUGUUGGGAUAUUUGUGUGUACUGUGUUUUCAAAAAAGAACAAAUAUUUGUAAGGAGUCAUCGAAGAGCUAUAGUCACCCUGCGGGCUGGGGCUAGUGUGCAAAAGGAAAAACAAGACAUGUAUUAUGAAAAAUAAGAAGAAGAAAAGACAGACAUAGGUACGCAGUGCAUAUAAUCAUUAAAAUCAGCUGCUUGUUAUAAAACGUGAGUUCAAUUCCAUUAAAAAGGGAAAAACGGAUAUGCAAUUAGCAAGCAAAAAAGUUCGGCUCAUCUCAAAUCCUCUUCUUCUUAUUAAGUCACCUUGGACAGAAGAAGUCACCGGCCGCGUUAGGUAAGAAUAUACUUAUCAGUUGUCAAGUCGGAAUAUAUACUUGCGUCUCGGCCUGCACCUCGUUUCACUUCACCAUGGAUGGAGACCGCAAGACGCCAUAGCCGCACCGGACAGCGCGUUGCUUGUAUGUGAAAAAGAAUCACAAUUCCUUCAUCCAUGUCCAUAACAAGGAGGGAAAGGGGAGGUGCGUAUAAGGUGUAUGGAUAUGUUUACUACAGUUUGUAAAAUGUGUUUGGAAAACUAAGUGAUUAUAUUGUUUACACUUGUUACUCUAUCAAAAUUCCUUGGUUUAUAUAAGCGGUAAUAUUCACCAGAAACGUUAAACUAAAAUUUUUCAAUCUUACUAUUGCUAAUUGAAGAUUCCUUUUUGAAAACUUCACGUUAAUCCUCACGUGAAGCGUUAGAAAAAAAAUAAAUUUUAGAAAUUUUUAUAAAAUUCAGAAAUAUCGGACCAUCAAUUAGGUAGACCCUAAUCAUCUUAGCCAUUAGAUCUAUUAUGCUUUCUAAGAAAUUACCCACCUCUACCAUUAUAAAAUAGUCUAAGGUAUAUAUGUAUUGUGAGCAACUCCAACAAUAGCUCUCAAAUCAAAACUCCCAAAGGUGAAAUGGGGUUCUCUCUAUUUUUUUACAGACCCAGCAAUAGCCCCGUGAAUAGAGAGCUCCCUAGAGGCACCCUAGGAAUGGAAGGUGGAGGGGAGAAUUUGGAGACCUCAUCAAAAUAGAAAGCUUACUAGAGGGUUCUGCUGAAGUGCAAUUUUUUUACUUGACCCUCUAAACUUGGGUUAGGGGGUAUUUAGAGCUACGUGGAGUUGCUCUUAGAAUAUUUACGAAUGAGGGACAACGCAAAGUUAUUAGCUACAGAUCCUAAUGUUUUUUUUAAAAAAACUAAUACUUAAGUCUUUCAAACUAUUAGCACCAGCGGGAGUACAAGUUGAUGUUUCAUAUAAUUUUAAUAAAAAUUGUAUGGCGGACCAAGCGUGUACUAGACUACUAGUAAAUGUGUGUUGACAUGAAAGCACAAGCAAAGAUCAAUCAACUGGCCAACGGCAAGAUCAGACUGUAAUCACCUGCUACUAGCAUGGGCGGAGGCCAGUGCGCAUGCACAUCUCAUCGAUAGGCCUGGAUAAUUAAGGUGGUGUUUGGUUGAGCGGUGGUUUUUGAAAAAUCUGCUGUGAGUUGUGGGUUGUAAAAAAGCAGCUGUGCGAAAGUAGCUGUGGAAAAAAUAGAAGGCCGUUUGGUUAGAGCAACUGUGAAACUGUAGGUCGUGAGGGUUUGCUUAUAUACAAAUUACUCAUAAUAAAAUAAUGUGUUCACUAAUUCGCAUGUAAAUGACUAUUUUAGAAAUGAAAAAAUAAAUUUUCUAUGUUUUCCUCAAUCAAAGUGCAGAACAAUAUCCAUCAAAAAUCUUAUACAACAAUUAUCCAGGUAUUGAUUGGGCUAUCGGCCAAUUCAACAAAGCAAUUGGUCCACAAUAGCUACUACUUGUACUCUCUCCUAGCAGCUAAAACAUCAGCAUCCUUCGGAACAAAUUCUGUUGCCACGUCGAUCCAAAUUCCCCAUCCUUUUCAGGGGUUCACUUCUUGACAAGAUCAGAUGCUUGAGUCGGUUGAAAUGUACCUAGUUAAUCCAAUACGACGCAUCAUAUUUCACUCAUGCGCCAUGCUCUUGCCGACGAUGCCUUUACCCUGCAAAUGCUCCAUCUUCAUCAUUUCCCCGGUGGACACCACUGUGGGCAAUGCAUCGCAGGAGGAUCCUUUAUGCCUCUCCCCGUAUCGGCACUAGUGUCAACCCCGAACCACCUCGCCACCCCGAGCAACACCAGGGCCGCAACGGCAUCCACGAUGUGCACAGACAGGGAUAGGUCCAUGACGGAGACGGCCCUUAGCCUUGCCUCCUCCACCUUGCAUCGCGUGGCGGGUGUCGUGGUGCCACCGGUGUCCAGGAGGCGGUGGCACCCCGCGGGCACGCAUGCGUCGACGUAGAGGCUGAGCCCAGUCUGCGCCGCCUAGAGCCCACCCACGGCGCCCACGCAAGCGAGCCCCGCCUCGACGACGAAGUGGGCUGCCGCCGCCACCGUGCCCCUCGACGCGGAAGCGGAGAGUGAUGAGGUGAGGGAUGUCGCGGCGGCGACGAGGAGGAGGAGGUGCGUGACGGGGUGCGGGGGGCGGCAGGCAGCGACCGGCGGUUGGGUGGGGGCGCCUAGUGUGGGAGUUGGACGGGUGCGCCUAGUGCAAAGUCUGACAGAAAUAGAACGGUGAAAACAAACCGAUAUCUCAUAAUCAGUGGUAGGUGGGUAAUUUUUUACCCCAAAAGCAGCUGAAAGUAGGGGGUAUGGUGCUUUUGGUUUUGCAUCUUUUGGCCUAAAGCAUUUGUAGCUUUUAGGCUCUUUGGUUAGUUUUUAGCUUUUGCAAAAGUAAAAACCUGUUGGAAAGCUUAACCAAAGACACCUCGAAGACGGCCACACACGAGCCAUGGAAAAACUGAAUGCGGCAGGAACGAAGCUGAGCCGGCGUCCGUCCGCGGGCAGGAUGCCGAUGAUGUCGAGCUCACGGCCGUACGGCCUGUGCAGCAGAGGAGCUCGGUCGGCGUUGCUGUGGGAGCCCAGUAGCUCACAGUGGAGGUCGUCAUCGACGGCGCCGGCGAGCCACGCCGGCCUGUGCAGCAGCACGGUUUACGGGUCCUAGAACGCGCGAUUAGCUGGUUUGAGCUCGCCGUCGAGUCAAUGGCGGCGUGGUUAUGGUCCACGAUCCAGGCCGGGUGGCCAGCGGCGAGAGGCGCCUGACCCCGGAAGAUGUGACGAACCCUUACCGGCGCCUUGAUUGCCUAAUCCGCAAUGUUAGGAGUUGCAAAGUUGGUCAGCUAAGAAGAUUGGCUCCAUUCGGCUGCACUUCUCGUCGCCAAGGAGGUUAUCCUGCAGCUGGACCGGGCACAAGAGCUGUGUUUGCUAUCAGAAGAGGAACGCGAGCUGCGGAGACAGCUAAAGGUACAACUCUGGGCCUCGCUUCACUGGAACGAACAAUCGCCAGAUAGCGGUCGCGCGUCCUCUACCUGAGCGAAGGGGACGCGAACACGAAGUUCUUCCACCUGCAUGCAAAUGGUCGGCGACGAAAGAACCACAUCACUAAACUACAGACAGGGAAUGGCAUGGUGUACACAGCAGAGGAGAUGGCUGACAAGCUCCACACCUACUUCGAUGGAGUUCUUGGACAGGAUCACAGGAGAGGGAUAGGCAGACCACGCUGAACCUGGAGGCAUUGGGGAUCUUCCCGAGAGAACUCCCUGGCCUGGAGGAGCCAUUUACUGAGGAUGAAGUGUGGCAAACAAUCCGGGCCAUGCCGCCGGACAAGUCGCCGGGGCCAGACGGUAUGACGGCGGCGUUCUAUCAAUCAACCUUGUCUAUUAUCAAAGAUGAUUGUGCUGAGAGCGGUGAAUGCUUUCUUUGUGGUGGAUCGACGAGGUUUCCGGUGCAUCAACGGGGCGCUCCUCACGCUGAUUCCUAAAAAAUCAGAUGCUCAAGCACCGAAGGACUAUCGCCCUGUAAGCCUAAUUUACAGUUUCCCAAAACUGCUCGCCAAGCUGCUUGCUAAUCGCCUCAGCCCUACAUGAACGAGCUUGUUCUCUGCAAUCAGAGCGCCUUCAUCAAGGGGCGGUCCAUUCUGGACAACUACAAGUAUGUUCAGAGAUCAGCGGCCAUCCUCCGGAAGCGGAAAGUGCCCAAGUUGUUGCUAAAACUUGAUAUUUCGAAGGCCUCUGACACGGUGGCGUGGCAGUUCGAGCUGGAGGUCCUGCAGGCAUGGGGUUUUGGAUCGAGAUGGCGCGAUUGGAUUUCUCUAUUGCUGUCCACGGGCCACGGCAACUACACGUGUGCUGCUCAACGGCCAGGCAGGGCUGCCGAUUGAGCACCGUCGCGGUCUCAGGAAGGAGAUCCACUCUCCCCAAUGUUGUUUGUGCUGGCAAUGGAUGCUCUCAACCGGCUCUUUAACAAGGCGGAUACUGAUGGAGUGCUACAGCCGCUUGGGGUGCCAUGCAUCAAGCACCGCUGCAGCAUGUACGCGGACGAUGUGAUCCUAUUGGCAGCACCAACUGCGGGGGAAGCAAGGGCUAUAACUUCUCAAUCUCUUUGGAGAUGCAUCAGGAUUGCAAACGAACUUAGAAAAGUGUUCAAUCACACCAAUCUACGGCUGUGAAGAAGUGCUGGAGAGCUUACAGCCAGUGAUGCCAUGUGCAAUCAAGGAGUUCCCCAUCACGUACUUGGGAGCGCCACUGUCUGUCAGAGCAUUGCCAAAAUCUCAGUUUAUGCCGAUUGUUGAGGAGGUUGCAGCAAAAUUACCAGCUUGGCAGGGACCCUUAAUGAAUAAGAGUGGACGCCUCACCCUUGUGAAGUCCACCCUCUCUACAAUGCCCAUUUACUUGAGCAUGUCUGACAAGAUGCCAAGAUGGGCUCUCAAGGAGUUGGACAGUAUCAGGCGAAACUUUCUGUGGAAUGGCACUGACAGGGCAGUAAGAGGGAAGAACGCAGUGGCCUGGCCAACUGUCUGCCGGCCUACAUGCUACGGAGGGCUCGGGGUGAUCGACUUCAAGCUAGCUGGCUUUGCCCUACGGACGCGUUGGCUCUGGCUACAGAAAACGGACGACGAGCGUUCGUGGGCUGCAGUACAAAUCAAGGUGCAGCCGGAGGUUCGCGCAUUCUUCAGCGCCUCUGUAACGGUGACUGUACGCAAUGGAGAGAGAAUUAUUCUGGUUAGACAACUGGAUUGAUGGGCAACCCGUCUCCCACCUGGCGCCUAACCUCCUUCAGACGGUGCCUGCACGAGUGAGGAACGGCAGAACGGUGGCGCGAUCGUUGCCGGAGCGGAGAUGGACGCAAGACAUUCGAGGACGUCUGUCAGUACAGGUACUGGUGGAAUACAUAAACCUUUGGGAGCGCAUCUCCGACUGACAGCUCAUGGAAGGUGCGGGACGUUUGCCGCUGGCGAUGGACCGUCGAUGGCAGCUACACGGCAGCUUCUGCAUAUCUCAAAAUGCACGAGGGAAGCAUCAAACUACGAGGUGCGUCGAGAAUUUGGAAGAAUUGGGCGCCGCCGAGGGUCAAGUUCUUUUCCUGGCUAGCAACGAAGAAGCGCAUAUGGACAGCUGACCGCCGCCGCCGGCAUGGGCUGGAUGCUCAUGACAAAUGUUGGCUCUGCGAUCAGGAACUGCAGACCACAUCUUGGUCAGCUGUGCCUACGCCAAGCAAAUUUGGUGGAAAGUCACGACGACGAUGCAUUGCAGCUGCAGUUUUUCCGCAGGGCACAUUCCAUGCAGAGCUGGUGGGCAAAUCUAAGGAAACAGCAGCCGAGAGCGAAGAGGAAGGGCUUUGACACCCUAUUCAUGCUUAUAAUUUGGAGUAUUUGGAAAGAGCGCAAUGCAAGGCUCUUCAACCAAAUAUCAUCCGCUGGCCAUGAGCUCACUGAGCGCAUUCUGCAGGAGGCUGAGAUAUGGAUCCUUGCGGGUGCUUGGCGAUUAGGUAGUAUCCGGCAUGAGUAGUACCAGUUAGAGGAGGCCUCUGGCCAUUAGGUUGUAGUCUGCAUACGGCGUAUGCAAGGUUUUGGCGUGUGCUCCGUCUCCGCCGAUUUCUGUAAAAAGUUUUUAAAUUCUCUUCUUAAUACAAUGAUACAAAUGAUGCGCAGCUCUCCUGCGUAUUGGAGAGAGAAAAGAGCGCCUGACCCGGCCACCCCUGGGUUUCUUGCAACUGUCAGAUCGGACAUGUGCGGCCACGGUCGCCUUGACCUCGCAAAUAUUCAUGUGGUGCCUUCGCUCGACCACCGUUGUCCUCGACGACGGGCUGCAUGCGCUCCGAGCCUCUGAUGAACCGCGCGCUGCCUGACGAGCCAGAGUCCAGUGGCCGCGAGAAUCACUUCUGAUGGUUGCGAGAGCAUCGUAGGCAGGUGUGGUGCUUAUCUCGCGAGAUAACAGAAGCGGCACGGUGCGGCGGUGCCAUUGCCGGCCGGCGCGGUCCUAGGCGUUCUGACUUCUGCGGCGUGUCUGCCUGCGGCGAAGGCGAGGGCCAUCGCGAUUACGAGUAGGAUGCUGCUACUGCUAGAGAGUGUUGGGCGCGCGGCACCGUGGCUGACUUCGGCCGCAACGUUGGCUCGGACGCCACGGCUGCUGUGCUGCCUCAGCUAGCCAGCGUGCGCUCGCCGUCGCCGGCGCCAUCGACGGCACCAAAGGCAAUCGAUGCUGACGCCCGCCAGCAGCACACCGGCAAUUGCAAGUCUGUCAACCGUCGCAGGGGAAUAUUUGCGCCGCCGGCCGCUGCCUCCUUGGGCGCUGCGCCGCGCAUCGGAGCGGCGGAGCCCAGCGCGUCGUCGAGGACUGCAGUCAAGCGAGGAAGGCGGAAAAGUCUAGCUCCAUUGACUUGAUCGCUGCCGCCCACGUGAGAUCCAACGGUCUAAAUAGGCCCAGAGUGGACGGUAAAUGAAAUACCGUCCACCCCCGUGUCUCUCUUCCACCGCGCGUCGAGCUCCGAUGACGAUCCGCGCGCCGCCCAACUUGGCAGAGUCCGGUAGCCGCAAGAAUCUUCGCCGACGAUGGUUGUGAGGACACGAGGGAGAUGCUUAUCUCACCGUACCAGAGAAGUGGAACGAUACGGUGGUGCCGUGGCUGGCGCAGCCCAGGCGUUGUGACUUCUGCGGCGUGGCUGGCUUCGACCGCCCGCGAUCAGGGAGAGACUCAAUGACGCGGUGGCAUCCAUGGGUAGAGCACCGCCGACGAGCGCUCGCGAGAACCCCGUGGACGGCGCCAAUGUCGAUUCGGAUGCCUCGGCAAGGUCACUGGCGCCGAUGCAUGGACGGCUACAGCCUACAGCCAUCAUCACAAUGCAAGGACGGCAAGGAGGCUGCCAGUUCUGGGGUUUGGGGGCAAACGUUUUUUGCCCCCAAACGAAUCGAAUGUUCACUUUGGAGUUGGGUCGGCGCAGCAAUAUACAUGCACGUAGUACACGGAGAAGCUUUAUUCAGGUCACGAGCUUAUUUUCGUAGUACGUACAGAGGCUGCGUGCAAGCACGCCAGCAAAGUACGUGGAUAAGGUAGACCUCGCACACACAAACUUACAAUUUCAUACAUACGGAGGACAUGCACAUACACGUACGCGAUACCUGCCUCCGGCCCAAUCCAGAUACGUGCGUCGUCGUCGAUCGAGCCCGCGUGAAGCCGAUCUCAGUCGGACCUGACGACGUAGCUCUCCUUGCGCUCGUGGAACUCGCCGGUGCAGGUGUUGAAGUCCUCCUCCACCGUGGUCUCGCGCAUCACGAAGUUGCCGGAGCCGUGGCCGUGGCCGUGGUGGCCGUGGUGGCCGUGGUGGCCGUGGUGGCGGCCGUGGCUGCCGGUGCGGGAGACCCUGUCGACCUCCUCGAACUUCUCCCUGACGACGUGCUGCUGGACGCCGCCGUGGCGGCCGAAGCCGGCCGGGCUCGCCACCGACCUCACCUCCUCCGAGCAGUAGUCAACCUCCUGGUAGUGAGCCAUUGGUGAUGAUGCUUGGGUUACUUGUUCAGUGCCUGUAUGCCUUGAAGUGCUUGUGAAUUGUGUGA